RNAcentral lists this ribosomal RNA (576 nucleotides) under Triticum aestivum (bread wheat). RNAcentral describes it as "partial small subunit ribosomal RNA". Lineage: Eukaryota; Viridiplantae; Streptophyta; Magnoliopsida; Poales; Poaceae. The record is from RNAcentral.
AUGGCUUCCUCUCUCGGUGGUCCGAGGCUCAAAAGUUUUGCGCAACGUCCUGCUAUUGGUACUCGUGGUGGCAUCCUGUUGCUGUGGGACGAAAACUUCCUCGAGGUUAAGGACAUUAGCACUGGAUCCUUUUUCCUGUCCGCUAUAAUCACCAUUGCUUGUAACAACACUUCUUUCAAGUUCACAACCGUCUAUGGGCCAACCCGAAGUAACCUCAAAGACUCUUUUUUCCAGGAGCUGAUCAGCGAGAAGCCAUCCCCUGGUACUAGAUGGCUGCUUGCCGGUGAUUUUAAUCAGAUUUAUUGGGCAAGCGACAAGAAUAGAGCUAACAGUGACCGAAGCCGCAUGACACGCUUUCGCAACACCCUCAAUACUUGUGAGCUCAAAGAAAUACACUUGCAAAACAGGAAAUUCACUUGGAGUAAUGAACAAGGCGCUCCAACGCUAAGCAAACUAGACUAUUUUUCUGCAAUGAAGAGUGGGACAUCGAUUUUGGCAAUCAUUUGCUGCAUGCCCUCUCCUCGUCCCUUUCUGACCACUGCCCUCUCCUACUUGCCAAUGACCAAGGGCCGCUGA